GAUAAAGUGGCUGAAUUAUAAGCGUUAAAUUGUAAAUUUAAUUAUGAGAUUUCUCCUUUAUCAA
This 64-nucleotide transfer RNA is filed under the name Hippodamia convergens (convergent lady beetle). Its description in RNAcentral is "tRNA-Tyr". It matches the Rfam family "tRNA". Rfam says of the family: Transfer RNA (tRNA) molecules are approximately 80 nucleotides in length. Their secondary structure includes four short double-helical elements and three loops (D, anti-codon, and T loops). The record is from RNAcentral. Lineage: Eukaryota; Metazoa; Arthropoda; Insecta; Coleoptera; Coccinellidae.